CUGAACUGACGGUGAAAGUUGCUCUUUCCUACAGAACAGGUACCGCACAGGCACUGAAAGUGCAAACUUCCCUACCAACGUCCCUCAGCCUUAACCUGGUUGAAUCACCUCUAGGUAUGGAAAAAUAGUUCAGUCUCUAUGCAAUUUCAAUCUUUUACUCCC
RNAcentral lists this small RNA (162 nucleotides) under Gopherus agassizii (Agassiz's desert tortoise). RNAcentral's name for it is "TUC338 (ENSGAGG00000013239.1)". The record is from RNAcentral. Lineage: Eukaryota; Metazoa; Chordata; Testudines; Testudinidae.